RNAcentral lists this ribosomal RNA (2902 nucleotides) under Escherichia coli HVH 192 (4-3054470). RNAcentral's name for it is "bacterial LSU rRNA". It matches the Rfam family "Bacterial large subunit ribosomal RNA". The record is from RNAcentral. Lineage: Bacteria; Pseudomonadati; Pseudomonadota; Gammaproteobacteria; Enterobacterales; Enterobacteriaceae.
UUAAGCGACUAAGCGUACACGGUGGAUGCCCUGGCAGUCAGAGGCGAUGAAGGACGUGCUAAUCUGCGAUAAGCGUCGGUGAGGUGAUAUGAACCGUUAUAACCGGCGAUUUCCGAAUGGGGAAACCCAGUGUGUUUCGACACACUAUCAUUAACUGAAUCCAUAGGUUAAUGAGGCGAACCGGGGGAACUGAAACAUCUAAGUACCCCGAGGAAAAGAAAUCAACCGAGAUUCCCCCAGUAGCGGCGAGCGAACGGGGAGGAGCCCAGAGCCUGAAUCAGUGUGUGUGUUAGUGGAAGCGUCUGGAAAGGCGCGCGAUACAGGGUGACAGCCCCGUACACAAAAAUGCACAUAUUGUGAGCUCGAUGAGUAGGGCGGGACACGUGGUAUCCUGUCUGAAUAUGGGGGGACCAUCCUCCAAGGCUAAAUACUCCUGACUGACCGAUAGUGAACCAGUACCGUGAGGGAAAGGCGAAAAGAACCCCGGCGAGGGGAGUGAAAAAGAACCUGAAACCGUGUACGUACAAGCAGUGGGAGCCUCUUUAUGGGGUGACUGCGUACCUUUUGUAUAAUGGGUCAGCGACUUAUAUUCUGUAGCAAGGUUAACCGAAUAGGGGAGCCGAAGGGAAACCGAGUCUUAACUGGGCGUUAAGUUGCAGGGUAUAGACCCGAAACCCGGUGAUCUAGCCAUGGGCAGGUUGAAGGUUGGGUAACACUAACUGGAGGACCGAACCGACUAAUGUUGAAAAAUUAGCGGAUGACUUGUGGCUGGGGGUGAAAGGCCAAUCAAACCGGGAGAUAGCUGGUUCUCCCCGAAAGCUAUUUAGGUAGCGCCUCGUGAAUUCAUCUCCGGGGGUAGAGCACUGUUUCGGCAAGGGGGUCAUCCCGACUUACCAACCCGAUGCAAACUGCGAAUACCGGAGAAUGUUAUCACGGGAGACACACGGCGGGUGCUAACGUCCGUCGUGAAGAGGGAAACAACCCAGACCGCCAGCUAAGGUCCCAAAGUCAUGGUUAAGUGGGAAACGAUGUGGGAAGGCCCAGACAGCCAGGAUGUUGGCUUAGAAGCAGCCAUCAUUUAAAGAAAGCGUAAUAGCUCACUGGUCGAGUCGGCCUGCGCGGAAGAUGUAACGGGGCUAAACCAUGCACCGAAGCUGCGGCAGCGACACUAUGUGUUGUUGGGUAGGGGAGCGUUCUGUAAGCCUGUGAAGGUGGCCUGUGAGGGUUGCUGGAGGUAUCAGAAGUGUGAAUGCUGACAUAAGUAACGAUAAAGCGGGUGAAAAGCCCGCUCGCCGGAAGACCAAGGGUUCCUGUCCAACGUUAAUCGGGGCAGGGUGAGUCGACCCCUAAGGCGAGGCCGAAAGGCGUAGUCGAUGGGAAACAGGUUAAUAUUCCUGUACUUGGUGUUACUGCGAAGGGGGGACGGAGAAGGCUAUGUUGGCCGGGCGACGGUUGUCCCGGUUUAAGCGUGUAGGCUGGUUUUCCAGGCAAAUCCGGAAAACCAAGGCUGAGGCGUGAUGACGAGGCACUACGGUGCUGAAGCGACAAAUGCCCUGCUUCCAGGAAAAGCCUCUAAGCAUCAGGUAACAUCAAAUCGUACCCCAAACCGACACAGGUGGUCAGGUAGAGAAUACCAAGGCGCUUGAGAGAACUCGGGUGAAGGAACUAGGCAAAAUGGUGCCGUAACUUCGGGAGAAGGCACGCUGAUAUGUAGGUGAAGCGACUUGCUCGUGGAGCUGAAAUCAGUCGAAGAUACCAGCUGGCUGCAACUGUUUAUUAAAAACACAGCACUGUGCAAACACGAAAGUGGACGUAUACGGUGUGACGCCUGCCCGGUGCCGGAAGGUUAAUUGAUGGGGUUAGCGGUAACGCGAAGCUCUUGAUCGAAGCCCCGGUAAACGGCGGCCGUAACUAUAACGGUCCUAAGGUAGCGAAAUUCCUUGUCGGGUAAGUUCCGACCUGCACGAAUGGCGUAAUGAUGGCCAGGCUGUCUCCACCCGAGACUCAGUGAAAUUGAACUCGCUGUGAAGAUGCAGUGUACCCGCGGCAAGACGGAAAGACCCCGUGAACCUUUACUAUAGCUUGACACUGAACAUUGAGCCUUGAUGUGUAGGAUAGGUGGGAGGCUUUGAAGUGUGGACGCCAGUCUGCAUGGAGCCGACCUUGAAAUACCACCCUUUAAUGUUUGAUGUUCUAACGUUGGCCCGUAAUCCGGGUUGCGGACAGUGUCUGGUGGGUAGUUUGACUGGGGCGGUCUCCUCCUAAAGAGUAACGGAGGAGCACGAAGGUUGGCUAAUCCUGGUCGGACAUCAGGAGGUUAGUGCAAUGGCAUAAGCCAGCUUGACUGCGAGCGUGACGGCGCGAGCAGGUGCGAAAGCAGGUCAUAGUGAUCCGGUGGUUCUGAAUGGAAGGGCCAUCGCUCAACGGAUAAAAGGUACUCCGGGGAUAACAGGCUGAUACCGCCCAAGAGUUCAUAUCGACGGCGGUGUUUGGCACCUCGAUGUCGGCUCAUCACAUCCUGGGGCUGAAGUAGGUCCCAAGGGUAUGGCUGUUCGCCAUUUAAAGUGGUACGCGAGCUGGGUUUAGAACGUCGUGAGACAGUUCGGUCCCUAUCUGCCGUGGGCGCUGGAGAACUGAGGGGGGCUGCUCCUAGUACGAGAGGACCGGAGUGGACGCAUCACUGGUGUUCGGGUUGUCAUGCCAAUGGCACUGCCCGGUAGCUAAAUGCGGAAGAGAUAAGUGCUGAAAGCAUCUAAGCACGAAACUUGCCCCGAGAUGAGUUCUCCCUGACUCCUUGAGAGUCCUGAAGGAACGUUGAAGACGACGACGUUGAUAGGCCGGGUGUGUAAGCGCAGCGAUGCGUUGAGCUAACCGGUACUAAUGAACCGUGAGGCUUAACCUU